Molecule: ribosomal RNA, 829 nt
Filed under: marine metagenome
Description: bacterial SSU rRNA
Rfam family: Bacterial small subunit ribosomal RNA
Source: RNAcentral
AGAGUUUGAUCAUGGCUCAGAACGUACGCUGGCGGCACGCCUUAUACAUGCAAGUCGAACGCAGUAGCAAUACUGAGUGGCAGACGGGUGAGUAUAAUGUGGGAAUCUGCCUUUUGGUUUAGAAUAACUCGGGGAAACCUGAGCUAAUACUGGAUAAGCCCUUACGGGGAAAGCUUUAUGCGCCAAAAGAUGAGCCCGCACUUGAUUAGCUUGUUGGUGAGGUAAAAGCUCACCAAGGCAACGAUCAAUAGCUGUUCUUAGAGGAAGACCAGCCACAUUGGGACUGAGACACGGCCCAGACUCCUACGGGAGGCAGCAGUAAGGAAUCUUGCACAAUGGGGGAAACCCUGAUGCAGCGAUGCCGCGUGAGUGAAGAAGGCCUUUGGGUUGUAAAACUCUUUCGUCGGGGAAGAAAAUGACUGUACCCGAAUAAGAAGGUCCGGCUAACUUCGUGCCAGCAGCCGCGGUAAUACGAAGGGACCUAGCGUAGUUCGGAAUUACUGGGCUUAAAGAGCUCGUAGGUGGUUAGAAAAGUUGGUGGUGAAAUCCCAAGGCUCAACCUUGGAACUGCCAUCAAAACUUUCUAGCUAGAGUGUGAUAGAGGAAAGUGGAAUUUCUAGUGUAGAGGUGAAAUUCGUAGAUAUUAGAAAGAACACCAAAUGCGAAGGCAACUUUCUGGAUCGCAACUGACACUGAGGAGCGAAAGCAUGGGUAGCGAAGAGGAUUAGAUACCCUCGUAGUCCAUGCCGUAAACGAUGUGUGCUAGACGUUGGAAAUUUAUUUUCAGUGUAGCAGCAAAAGCGUUAAGCACACCGCCUGGGGAGUACGA